UAAUACGGAGGGUGCAAGCGUUAAUCGGAAUUACUGGGCGUAAAGCGCACGCAGGCGGUUUGUUAAGUCAGAUGUGAAAUCCCCGGGCUCAACCUGGGAACUGCAUUUGAAACUGGCAAGCUAGAGUCUCGUAGAGGGGGGUAGAAUUCCAGGUGUAGCGGUGAAAUGCGUAGAGAUCUGGAGGAAUACCGGUGACGAAGGCGGCCCCCUGGACGAAGACUGACGCUCAGGUGCGAAAGCGUGGGGAGCAAACAGGAUUAGAUACCCUGGUAGUCCACGCUGUAAACGAUGUCGAUUUGGAGGUUGUGCCCUUGAGGCGUGGCUUCCGGAGCUAACGCGUUAAAUCGACCGCCUGGGGAGUACGGCCGCAAGGUUA
Molecule: ribosomal RNA, 376 nt
Filed under: uncultured Serratia sp.
Lineage: Bacteria; Pseudomonadati; Pseudomonadota; Gammaproteobacteria; Enterobacterales; Yersiniaceae
Description: bacterial SSU rRNA
Rfam family: Bacterial small subunit ribosomal RNA
Source: RNAcentral